GACGAACGCUGGCGGCGUGCUUAACACAUGCAAGUCGAACGGAAAGGCCCUGCUUUUGUGGGGUGCUCGAGUGGCGAACGGGUGAGUAACACGUGAGUAACCUGCCCUUGACUUUGGGAUAACUUCAGGAAACUGGGGCUAAUACCGGAUAGGAGCUCCGGCUGCAUGGUGGGGGUUGGAAAGUUUCGGCGGUUGGGGAUGGACUCGCGGCUUAUCAGCUUGUUGGUGGGGUAGUGGCUUACCAAGGCUUUGACGGGUAGCCGGCCUGAGAGGGUGACCGGCCACAUUGGGACUGAGAUACGGCCCAGACUCCUACGGGAGGCAGCAGUGGGGAAUAUUGCACAAUGGGCGGAAGUCUGAUGCAGCAACGCCGCGUGCGGGAUGACGGCCUUCGGGUUGUAAACCGCUUUCGCCUGUGACGAAGCGUGAGUGACGGUAAUGGGUAAAGAAGCACCGGCUAACUACGUG
This 468-nucleotide ribosomal RNA is filed under the name uncultured bacterium. Its description in RNAcentral is "partial 16S ribosomal RNA". It matches the Rfam family "Bacterial small subunit ribosomal RNA", at positions 28 to 507 of the family's 1533-position model. The record is from RNAcentral.